This is a non-coding RNA of Phrynosoma platyrhinos (Desert horned lizard), 71 nucleotides long. The record is from the annotation of a GenBank genome assembly. Lineage: Eukaryota; Metazoa; Chordata; Lepidosauria; Squamata; Phrynosomatidae.
ACCAGAGUGGUGCAGUAGUUUGAGCAUCGGACUACAACUCUGGAGUCCAGGGUUCGAAUCCCCGCUGGGCA